Molecule: small nucleolar RNA, 90 nt
Organism: Manihot esculenta (cassava)
Lineage: Eukaryota; Viridiplantae; Streptophyta; Magnoliopsida; Malpighiales; Euphorbiaceae
Product: small nucleolar RNA snoR31
Exons: 1
Source: RefSeq, a predicted model, not a curated record
UGGAUGAGGAUGAAGCAAUAACAAUAAUCCAACACUUGAUCUGAGACUUUCAUAGUCAAGUGAUGUUCACAUAUUGACUUCUGAAUCUGU